UGCAGGGUAGCUCAGUUGGUAGAGCACAGAAAAACGGAUCAUGAAAAAAGAGGUGAUCCUAACCGCAAACACUUUUCCCUAUCAGGCUGGUGUCGCCGGUUCGAUUCCGGCCCCUGCAA
RNAcentral lists this transfer RNA (119 nucleotides) under Lachnospiraceae bacterium. RNAcentral describes it as "tRNA-OTHER". It matches the Rfam family "tRNA". From Rfam's summary of the family: Transfer RNA (tRNA) molecules are approximately 80 nucleotides in length. Their secondary structure includes four short double-helical elements and three loops (D, anti-codon, and T loops). The record is from RNAcentral. Lineage: Bacteria; Bacillati; Bacillota; Clostridia; Lachnospirales; Lachnospiraceae. RNAcentral also lists the same sequence under 1 other name.